RNAcentral lists this long non-coding RNA (747 nucleotides) under Homo sapiens (human). RNAcentral describes it as "HSALNT0224931". Lineage: Eukaryota; Metazoa; Chordata; Mammalia; Primates; Hominidae. The record is from RNAcentral.
AUUUCCUUAAGUAAAAUGUAUUUAACACCGUAUAAGAGUUGUCAAAUAAGCAUUAGCAUACAAAUUUAAGAUAACAGAAACUUGUUCAGAUUCAAGUUGAGUGCAGAUCUCUACUUCUCAGAGACAAGUUGGGGAGUCUUUGCAUGGUUUCCUGGAUGGCCUAUCUCGCUUUCACUGCAGCUGUAUGCAAGAAAAGGAUCACGAGAGAGGUUCUUACCAUGGAAAAUCAAAAUGACUGGCUCCUUCAAAUAAAUCUUACCUGCAGCCUUGCCAAGUCUUCAUCUUGGAAACAAUGAGCCUGCUUUAUAUACUCAACACUAGAUAGACUUUUAUAUAACUAUGCUGAUUGUGAAGCUGAUGUUGCAGCAUACGGUAAAGCUUAGUAGAUAACGUUGGAUAAGGAAAGGAGAGUAAUCUGUAAAUGUGAAGAAAAAAGACUGGAAGGAAGUACACCAAAACAUUAAUAAGUAUUGCACAAAUGCUGGAGGGAAGAGCUGCCUUUUACCUUUUAUCUGUACUUUAUAAAUUACUUCAAGAUAAAUAAAUCAUGAAUUUUAUUAACUUGCAUUGAAAACCAUUUACAACCUAGUCUCAAACUCUAUUCAGUAUAUUUUUUAAGCCUUUCCCCAGAUCGGCUCCACUAUCAAACUACCAUUGUUAAUUCCCAGGUCUCACAGGUUCUUUCUAUUUUUAUGCCUUUGUUCAUGAUGUUCCCUCAACCUCUAACGCUCUUCCCUCUCAUCUCAG